UAUAGUAGCUGGAAAGUAAAAAGAAGUGGAGGGUAAUAAUAAAAGGGUAAUAGUAAAAGAAAAGGGAGGGGCUGAAAAGGGUCUGCUUUGGGUAUAAAAUAUAAGUCAUUUGGGGACUAAUGGGGGGACUGGAUUUUGAGGGGAAAAGUCCAGAGUUUAAGAGUGAAUGGAAGCUGAACUUUGAACAAAGGGAAAACAUUCAUAGUUCAAGUUAAAAACCUGCUGGAUUUUAUCAUCAGAAUUCAGUAAUUUUAAAGUUGAAAUAGGCUGACUUUCAAACUAAAAGUGAGGUCUUUUCUUUACUUCUAAAAUACCAGAGCUGUUCCAUUGCCCUUUCUCCCCUGAUUCACUCUGUUUUUCUGCUAGUAAUUGUUUGGCAUUGUUGGUUUUCAAGUAGUAUUUCCUGAAGUGUGCUAUUGGACAUCUGUUACUGUUUCAUUGCUAUUUCUGGGUUUUUCUCCAUUGGUUUUCGGGACUGCUGGUUGCCGGACUUUGUUCCGUUGGUUUUAAGUUGCCUGUUGGUUAUUGUUGCUGUUGCUGUU
RNAcentral lists this long non-coding RNA (542 nucleotides) under Nicotiana tabacum (common tobacco). RNAcentral describes it as "long non-coding RNA (NTAB_LNC008688)". The record is from RNAcentral. Lineage: Eukaryota; Viridiplantae; Streptophyta; Magnoliopsida; Solanales; Solanaceae.